This is a non-coding RNA of Peptostreptococcus anaerobius, 75 nucleotides long. Lineage: Bacteria; Bacillati; Bacillota; Clostridia; Peptostreptococcales; Peptostreptococcaceae. The record is from Rfam.
UCUAUGGAGAGUACAAGAACUUGUGAGUAGUAUCUGGAUUUGUUCAGUAUGAAAGCAUGCUCGAUGAAGUAGGAA